Molecule: small RNA, 27 nt
Filed under: Bombyx mori (domestic silkworm)
Lineage: Eukaryota; Metazoa; Arthropoda; Insecta; Lepidoptera; Bombycidae
Description: ovarian small RNA-14600
Source: RNAcentral
CUAAAUCGGGCGAUCUUGAGGGCCAGU